AUACGUAGGUGGCAAGCGUUGUCCGGAAUUAUUGGGCGUAAAGCGCGCGCAGGCGGUCCUUUAAGUCUGAUGUGAAAGCCCACGGCUCAACCGUGGAGGGUCAUUGGAAACUGGGGGACUUGGGUGCAGAAGAGGAAAGUGGAAUUCCAAGUGUAGCGGUGAAAUGCGUAGAGAUUUGGAGGAACACCAGGGGCAAAGGCGCAUUUCAGGGCCGUACCGGGAGCUGAGACGCGAACGCGUGGGGACCAGCCAGGAUGAGACAACGGGGUAGCCCACGUCGUGAACGGUGAGUGCUAAGUGUACGGGGGUGUCCGCCUGUGCGUGCUUUAGCUCCAAUAUUAAGGGAUACGCCUGGGGAGUUCGGUAGCAACGCGGAGACUGAAAUGAAUGGACGGGG
RNAcentral lists this ribosomal RNA (397 nucleotides) under uncultured bacterium. RNAcentral describes it as "partial 16S ribosomal RNA". It matches the Rfam family "Bacterial small subunit ribosomal RNA", at positions 523 to 918 of the family's 1533-position model. The record is from RNAcentral.